Molecule: non-coding RNA, 26 nt
Filed under: Homo sapiens (human)
Lineage: Eukaryota; Metazoa; Chordata; Mammalia; Primates; Hominidae
Source: RNAcentral
UGAGGCCAGUAAAGAUCACAAGGCAA